GACGAACGCUGGCGGUGGGCUUAACACAUGCAAGUCGAACGGAAAGGCCCUGCUUUUGUGGGGUGCUCGAGUGGCGAACGGGUGAGUAACACGUGAGUAACCUGCCCUUGACUUUGGGAUAACUUCAGGAAACUGGGGCUAAUACCGGAUAGGAGCCCCUGCUGCAGGGUGGGGGUUGGAAAGUUUCGGCGGUUGGGGAUGGAUUCGCGGCUUACCAGCUUGUUGGUGGGGUAGUGGCUUACCAAGGCUUUGACGGGUAGCCGGCCGGAGAGGGUGACCGGCCACAUUAGGACUGCGGGACGGCCCAGACUCCAACGGGAGGCAGCGGUGGCAAAUAUUGCACAAUGGGCGGAAGCCUGAUGCGGCAACGCCGCGUGCGGGAUGACGGCCUUCGGGUUGUAAACCGCUUUCGCCUGAGACGAAGCGGGAGUGACGGUAAUGGGUAAAGAAGCACCGGCUAACUACGUG
RNAcentral lists this ribosomal RNA (468 nucleotides) under uncultured bacterium. RNAcentral's name for it is "partial 16S ribosomal RNA". It matches the Rfam family "Bacterial small subunit ribosomal RNA", at positions 28 to 507 of the family's 1533-position model. The record is from RNAcentral.